Molecule: ribosomal RNA, 254 nt
Filed under: uncultured bacterium
Lineage: Bacteria
Description: partial 16S ribosomal RNA
Rfam family: Bacterial small subunit ribosomal RNA
Source: RNAcentral
UACAGAGGGUGCGAGCGUUGUCCGGAAUCACUGGGCGUAAAGGGUGCGUAGGCGGGUCUUUAAGUCAGGGGUGAAAUCCUGGAGCUCAACUCCAGAACUGCCUUUGAUACUGAGGAUCUUGAGUUCGGGAGAGGUGAGUGGAACUGCGAGUGUAGAGGUGAAAUUCGUAGAUAUUCGCAAGAACACUAGUGGCGAAGGCGGCUCACUGGCCCGAUACUGACGCUGAGGCACGAAAGCGUGGGGGAGCAAACAGG